RNAcentral lists this small RNA (143 nucleotides) under Siansivirga zeaxanthinifaciens CC-SAMT-1. RNAcentral describes it as "Flavo-1 RNA". It matches the Rfam family "Flavo-1 RNA". Lineage: Bacteria; Pseudomonadati; Bacteroidota; Flavobacteriia; Flavobacteriales; Flavobacteriaceae. The record is from Rfam by way of RNAcentral.
AGCUACUCCUGGUUGAAGUGGCAUCCUUUCUGCGAAGCCUUGAUAACAUAGAAUAACUUAUUAAAAACCAAUAAAUUUGAUACGAUGCCAAAACAAGUUCGGGACUGCUUAGCAGAAAGAUAUAACGGAAAACAGGAAGAAAC